RNAcentral lists this ribosomal RNA (253 nucleotides) under uncultured bacterium. RNAcentral describes it as "partial 16S ribosomal RNA". It matches the Rfam family "Bacterial small subunit ribosomal RNA", at positions 524 to 776 of the family's 1533-position model. The record is from RNAcentral.
UACAGAGGUCUCAAGCGUUGUUCGGAUUCAUUGGGCGUAAAGCGCGCGUAGGCGGCUAAUUAAGUCAAAUGUGAAAUCCCCGAGCUUAACUUGGGAAUUGCAUUCGAUACUGGUUAGCUAGAGUGUGGGAGAGGAUGGUAGAAUUCCAGGUGUAGCGGUGAAAUGCGUAGAGAUCUGGAGGAAUACCGGUGGCGAAGGCGGCAUCCUGGACCGGUAUUGACGCUGAGGCGCGAAAGCUAGGGGAGCAAACGGG